Molecule: long non-coding RNA, 5999 nt
Filed under: Pomacea canaliculata
Lineage: Eukaryota; Metazoa; Mollusca; Gastropoda; Architaenioglossa; Ampullariidae
Description: uncharacterized LOC112572086, transcript variant X5
Source: RNAcentral
CUCUCCUUACUUCCGUUUUCCAUAGUAGCUUCCCCUGCCCGGUAACUAUGGCGGAUUUGUAGGCGUUACAGGAUGGUUGUAAACGGGGCUUCUUCUUUUUUUUUUUUUAAUUACGCUUCAGUUCUCAUAGCGUAUUGAAUCUUCUCCAUAGAUUAGAUUGCUCCAGCUGCCAGUCCUAGUUACCGGAGUGGUCAAGUGUCACUCUGCUUUUUCACAUUCCUUGGCCAGCUACAUUGUGGAAUCUGCUUGUCAGUACCACUUAUCCAACAGGGAGUUUUCCUUUAGGAAACUGGUUAGUUGCAGACACCAACUUGAAUGAUGACCUUGUAAUGAUGAUGCCUUCUUGUUUCUGGUGUUUUCAGUUCUAAUUUGCAAAGUCAGUGUGCAGACUUUUUUGAGUGAGGUACAGGGUCAGCUAAUUUUUCUUUACUUGGUAAUCUUUAUCUUGAUGUCUUGUUUGGAGCUGCCUAAAAAAUCUUCCACUAAUUUCCAAGAUGUGUUGUACCUGAACGGCACCCCAGUGUCCAGCCUGUGAUUGUGUUACUUUUAUCAUCUGAAAAACUGCAGCCAUGCUGCUAACCAUCACUCUGCACUGCAUGUGGCUAACCAUGUCGGCUGCUGUCUCUGGAUGUGGGGACAUGUAUUGGUUAUUGCUGUAGGGUGGGGACAACACCAUUUGCCUGCCUCAAGUUUCAUGACUUGGGUGCUGAAAAACUGGAGCAGAGUACAGGGACAGGAACACUGGCGCAGACAUCUGAUGAAGUCAACAGAGCGUGUAGUGAGAUAAAAGAAGAGUCACAGCGCACAAAAUUAGAGAUCCACCACGCAGACUUCAGCCUCUUUGACAAUAUCAUGAACUCAAUGGAGGAACUCAAGGCGCUACCAGGGGAGUUGAAGGAAUCAUUGAUCCUGCAUGUUGAACGGCGCAGUCUGAUGGUGGCGGGGGUUGUGGUUGCUAUAGGAGCGGCCAUAAUGUUACUAGGAUGCCUGUGGAUACACUGGUGCCACACAGAGCAUGGGGAAUAUGUCCCACUUACCCCUGCAAAAGAGGAGCAUGAAAAAAAAAACAGCAGCAGCACCACCACCAGAAGCUCCGAGACCAUUCUCACAAGGCAGGCACACACUUGGAUAAUGGUGUGAAGAAAUUAACACAUCGCAGAGUGCAUGUGGUCACUAAAAGCCACUGACUGUGUCUUCAUCUCCUUUCCUACUGUUGGGGGAAAAGUCAAGGAACUCUUACCUGUUGGCUUUUGUAUUAUAAAAAUCUUUAUAAAACCACAGUAGUUUGUCUCUACUCCUUGCUAAAGACCAGUCCACCGGGAGAACUGACCUGGAAAGGAAUUGUAUCCAUGGGAUCUUAACUAUGCAAUACAUUGUCCAUUUUUGUCCUUAGUUGUGUGAAUAGCUAGUUUUUUGGCAGAUUGUAGCGUUUGGGGGGUGGGAGAGGAGCGUUUGUUUUGUUGUUUUUUUUUUUUUUGCUCUCAUAUUUGUAGCUGAAAACCAUCUCUCAGAAAAUGUAUUUGAUUACAAAAUUCGCUCAGGUGUGGUCCAAGUUUGGCCUCUCUAAAGCUGCUUUUGCUGGGCUGUAACAUGGAGCCAGAAACAAAUAAUCAAACCUUUAGGUUAUAUGCCCUUGUAUGACUAAAGGAACACACUUUUUUCUAGCUCACAGCUACCUUAAAAGUUAAUUUUAUCUUUGUCCCAUAGCUGUUUUACUAUUGAGUCUGUGGCUGUGUAGCUAGUGUGCUAGUAGCCACAAAUUUAUAUCGGUGCUGGUCAGCAGACCAUGACAUGAGUACUCGAGUAUUGUCUGAUACCUCCUUGCCUGAUCCAGUCCUUUAAUAUGUUUCCAGAUAGUUAUUUAAAGGACUGGGUUUCCCAUUCAUGUGAUCUCAUGAUUUUCUUGUUAUUCCCCAUUACAUUCCAUACAAUUUUACACCUGGCCCUACCACUCCCACCUCUAACCUCAACCUUGUGCUGUUAUUCUCUUCUCUUGUUUGUCUUGAUGACCUCAGCUGAGUGUUCAUAAUUUAUGUGGAUCUGUACUAAGUCUGUUUGGUUAGCACACUUUCUUAAUUUUUGGCAUAUGCUGUGUCCACUCUUUCAUCAGCAUGUAUGUAGCAUAUGUAGUGUCCACUCUUUGGGCAUGGACAUAACCCAUCCAUGUCUGUUUUUGUUGCUUGAUAGUGGCAAGCUGUGUUUCCUGGGCACCCACCUUACUGGCAACUGCUUUAUGUACAAAAUUGUUCAUUUUGUGGUCUUUGUAAAGCACUCUCAUUAAGCAUACGGUUUCAAAUGCUUUGGUGAGCAAUGUCUGUUUCACAAGUGUUAUGGAGCUGCUGAAGGACUUGUACAGCUUGCAUUGGACACUAAAACAACUAGGAUUGAGGUGAACAUCCUCCACACAGCCUUCAUCUCUGAAGUUGUAGCACUCAGGUACUUGAAGCUUUGCACCUUUUUGAGCUCAACUCCACGAAGAUCUCCACCUUGCCAUGCCCAGUGGCAUUAACAAUGACAUCUCUUGUCCACCCCAUAUGCAUUCGUGCUGCUUGCAACCUUGUUUGUGAGGCUCUGUAACUUGCUGUUGUUUCCUGUUAUCGGGUCGUUGUCAACUGUAAAGCAUGUGCUACGUUGUGGCCUCCUGCCAAUGGACACUGAGGUCUGAUGGUCAGGAGUGUAUCGUGCAUGAUAUUCUCCUGAUGUCUGCCAUCAUGGAUAAUAACUCUCCCAUCAUGAUUGUUGAGGAAUACUGAGCUCAUCAUAAAAACAUAUUUGUCUCAUAGAUGUUAAAAAGCACCAGACAAAUGGCAGCCUUGGCAGAUAUCUACCAUUAAGGGGGAGAACUCUCCCAUCAUGACUGUUGAGUAUUGAGCUCAUCACAUGACACAAUAUUCUCAUCUUUCUUCUUGAAACCUGGUGUUGAAAGCUGUUGAAUUCUUGUAAUACUUCUGUCAAAGAUCUUUUACAUGUGACUCAUUCUUGUCAUCAACUUUAUCUUUCACUCAGCUGCUUAUACAGCACAGGAACUUCCAUGAUGAUUAAACAUGCGAACCAGUUCCUUGCCACAUUUUCAAUGCAGAGCUUGUGUUAAUGAUCUGCAAGAAUUACUGGUUGGAUGUAAAGGUCUUUUUUUUUUUUUUUUUUUUUUUCUUUGAAGGCAGUAGUCAUUUACUGGUUGUCACAGGGACGUACCAGCAGUUGGCAGUCUUCAGCCUUGUUUCUUGUCCAGGCCCUUCUUUCACCAUGCAUUCUCUUUAACCUGCACUGGUAUGCAUGAGAGACUGAUGGGGUGCAUCGGUCCAGUGAGUGAUUUUUCUUCUACAUCUUAUUUUAUUGUGACUUUUUAUAUGUGAUAUGCUAACAUUAGUCUAUUUUCAUUUGACCUUUUAAAUAAGUGCAGUUAACAUAAAAACAUUUUGCAUUACAUUGUUUGUUAAUAUUGUGAGAACUCUCUCGCAGGUUGUGAUCAAUUAUGAAAAUAUUAGUGAUGAUCAUAUACAUUAUUCUCUAAAAAAAACCUUAAUGGAUGGAUAUAACUUGCAGGUAUGUUUGUGUGUGUGGGAAAUUCAUGACAAGGAUACCAGUGUUACAAUGAAGAUAAAAAGUGUUUUUGCCUUAGGUUGCAUAUAACCCUGGAGAAUAGAGAUUAUGAGGCUAGUGUGAAAUAUAUGUAUGAAAAUGUUGUGUGUAGGUGGAUAGAGAUUAUGAGGCUAGAGAGAAGUACGUUUUAAAAUGUCAUUUGUGGGUGGGAUGGUGGUGCCUGUAUAUUUAUUUCACUCAUUUGUUUAGAAUGAAACCUGAAAUGCUGGUAUAUGUUUACGAUUACCUCAAGGUAUUGAAGACAAAGUUUAAGCCAAAUGUAUCUCAACUGGUUGAGUGAGGAAUAAAUUUUCAACAAGACAAAGUCAUUUUAAAACGUGAAAUAUAUGUACAACAAUAAAACUGUCGUUAAAGUUUUUUUUUUAAAAAAGGCAAUAAAACUGGCAUCUUUUUACGUUGCUUUAAAUGGGUAUGUACAACAAUAAAGCUGUCCUAAAAUUUUUUUUAAAAAAAACAAGGCAAUAAAUUUUGCUUAUUUUCACAUUGUUUGAACUUUUUACAGUUCUAUGUUUCUUCCUGGAACACCAAGUAAGCAUGGUUUUUUUAGACUAUAAGUAAUCGAUGGAACUGUAAAGAGUUUUAAAAAAGUUACAUCAUAUCAUAUCACCAUGAUUUAUUUUCUUUAUAUCGCACGAUUAUAAGGGCCUCUAAGACCAAUUCUGAGCAACGAUCCAUGCAUUAUUCAUUGUCAGCACAUCAUAAAAGCAACUGAUCCAUCAAAAUGUGCUGGAGCAGGCACUUUAUCUUGAUGCUUCUUGCCAGUGGGCCACAAUAUUAACAUUGUGAUAUUCACUAUAUCAAACAAACCCAUGGGUAGCAAGUGACAUAAGCUGCUGAAAACUAAAUGGAACCUCUCUGUCAGAAAACUCAACUGAAUUCUCUCUCUCAAGGGCAGUGUGACGCACCUGUCAUCAAUACAGUAAAGGCUGUCCUGGGUUCAGCUCUUAUUUUGGGCACGGUGUUCUUUCUCAUCAGAAAAUUAAGGUGACUUCUACCUCUGUCAGAUGCCAAACUAUUUCAAGUGGGUGUCUGCUUUAUGUGGAUGGCCUGCUGCUCUUGACUUUGUUGCGUCCUGAUUUAAAAAGGGACUUACUCAAGAUAUGUUUUGCCUGCAGGUCUGUUUUUAUUAUCAUGAUGCAAAGGGCUUUAGUGUUUAUUUGGCAGUCACUUAGUUUGAUUUUGAAAGUGUAACAUGUGUAGCAGUCAUUAAUGAAUGUGGAUUGAGUUUACUCCUUAGCCAGUGUGAUGUCUCAGCUGAGAGGAUGUGUUUUACUGACCGUAGUUUUAGUAUUCCUGUUGCAGAAGGCCCUCACCUAUUUAACCACUGAUCAUAUUUUUACUUGUCCUUCGUACGUGUUCACUUUUUUUGAAACAAACUUUAUUGAAUAUUUAUUUCAUGCAAAACUUUCUAGGUUUUGAAUCUUUUACGGUGAAAAGCUAUAUGCCAGUACAAUUUAGAGAAGUGCUGUGAAAUAGCUCCUUUACGACAUUGCAAAUAAAAUCUACACCCACCUUUUUGAACAGAGCAAACAAACAAAAAAUGUAAAAGGCCUAGUUCUGUAGUGUUAUUUGCUUGGUUCAAUGAUAAGCAUCAUUUUGUUGGAUUUACUGAUGCUUAGUUACAAACAAAAAAAUGAUGAUGGAUUGUGUUGACAGAUGAUGCCAUGGAGCUGAAUGGCAAAAAAUGCUUCACAUCUGUAAUCUUAGCUACAUAAAGAAAAUGCUUUCACUUUGGUUACUACAUAAAAUUUGCAUUGUGAAUACAGAACAUUUAUCUUUAACAAGGAUGUAUCACCUUCAUUUCCCAUUGUUUACCUGCUUCUAGAAAAGAUUUUCGCCCAAUCCACUGUCAUUGUGUAGGAUUUAUGAAUGACAGUGUGUGUACACCAUUAUUGGUCUUGUGGUCAAUAAAAAUUAUGUCAGACUAUAAUGAUGCAUUAUGCACCUUGUUACCAUGCAUUCAGUACAGCACUGCAUUUAAAAAUCAUAAAUUUUGAUAUGGUGCUGCAAAAUAUUCCAGGUUUAUUUACAAAAUAACUAUCCAUGACAUUUUCCUUGUGUAACCUUCACUAUAUUUGCUUUAAUUAUGGAAGUUAAAAAGAGAGUGAAUUAUUUUCAUUUUUAAGGGAGAGAAAGGUUAAUUUAUGUCAUUUAGGUAUAUUAACAAAAGAACCAUGCUCUUAGACACCUAUUUCAGUCAUGCUGUUUAUGCUGUAAAUAGAUUCAUCUGAGGUGGACAUAACUUUUGGGUAAUUUGCUCUUAGCACUGUACUUGUAUACUCACUGAAUUCAAGAAAUGUUAGAAUUGUCACGGAUAUAAAUGAUUGAUGAUACAAAACAAUAUCAGUUGACUUGUAUCUCACAUUAAUGCAAAGAUCAAAAUAAAACUAACAAAUGCA